Molecule: ribosomal RNA, 1343 nt
Filed under: uncultured bacterium
Lineage: Bacteria
Description: 16S ribosomal RNA
Rfam family: Bacterial small subunit ribosomal RNA
Source: RNAcentral
GACGAACGCUGGCGGCGUGCUUAACACAUGCAAGUCGAACGGAAAGGCCCUGCUUUUGUGGGGUGCUCGAGUGGCGAACGGGUGAGUAACACGUGAGUAACCUGCCCUUGACUUUGGGAUAACUCCAGGAAACUGGGGCUAAUACCGGAUAGGAGCUCCUGCUGCAUGGUGGGGGUUGGAAAGUUUCGGCGGUUGGGGAUGGACUCGCGGCUUAUCAGCUUGUUGGUGGGGUAGUGGCUUACCAAGGCUUUGACGGGUAGCCGGCCUGAGAGGGUGACCGGCCACAUUGGGACUGAGAUACGGCCCAGACUCCUACGGGAGGCAGCAGUGGGGAAUAUUGCACAAUGGGCGGAAGCCUGAUGCAGCAACGCCGCGUGCGGGAUGACGGCCUUCGGGUUGUAAACCGCUUUCGCCUGUGACGAAGCGUGAGUGACGGUAAUGGGUAAAGAAGCACCGGCUAACUACGUGCCAGCAGCCGCGGUGAUACGUAGGGUGCGAGCGUUGUCCGGAUUUAUUGGGCGUAAAGGGCUCGUAGGUGGUUGAUCGCGUCGGAAGUGUAAUCUUGGGGCUUAACCCUGAGCGUGCUUUCGAUACGGGUUGACUUGAGGAAGGUAGGGGAGAAUGGAAUCCCUGGUGGAGCGGUGGAAUGCGCAGAUAUCAGGAGGAACACCAGUGGCGAAGGCGGUUCUCUGGGCCUUUCCUGACGCUGAGGAGCGAAAGCGUGGGGAGCGAACAGGCUUAGAUGCCCUGGUAGUCCACGCUGUAAACGGUGGGUACUAGGUGUGGGGUCCAUUCCACGGGUUCCGUGCCGUAGCUAACGCUUUAAGUACCCCGCCUGGGGAGUACGGCCGCAAGGCUAAAACUCAAAGGAAUUGACGGGGCCCCGCACAAGCGGCGGAGCAUGCGGAUUAAUUCGAUGCAACGCGUAGAACCUUACCUGGGUUUGACAUGGAUCGGGAGUGCUCAGAGAUGGGUGUGCCUCUUUUGGGGUCGGUUCACAGGUGGUGCAUGGCUGUCGUCAGCUCGUGUCGUGAGAUGUUGGGUUAAGUCCCGCAACGAGCGCAACCCUUGUUCACUGUUGCCAGCACGUUAUGGUGGGGACUCAGUGGAGACCGCCGGGGUCAACUCGGAGGAAGGUGGGGAUGACGUCAAGUCAUCAUGCCCCUUAUGUCCAGGGCUUCACGCAUGCUACAAUGGCUGGUACAGAGAGUGGCGAGCCUGUGAGGGUGAGCGAAUCUCGGAAAGCCGGUCUCAGUUCGGAUUGGGGUCUGCAACUCGACCUCAUGAAGUCGGAGUCGCUAGUAAUCGCAGAUCAGCAACGCUGCGGUGAAUACGUUCCCGGG